UCCGGAGGGCAGGGAGCACACCUGGAGUGUGCAGCGGGUGGGCUGGGAAGGACACGGCUGUCAGGGCACUUCUUCAAAGCCCCCCCGGGCACGGCAGCCCGCGGCAAAGCGCUGCGAGUGCUCCGCUCACACCCUCCCCACGCAUUUCGCUUUCGCUCCCUCGCAGCAGCCGGAGACAGAGAAGAAAGCAAAGCCGGUUCCUUAAAUCCUGGGGGCGAGAGGAUUUCAGAGCCAUGGGCGGCCGGGAGCGGCGAGCAAACGAGCACCGAGGCUGGAAAGCAGGUCACAGGCGGCAGACUCCUGACCCCAAUGGCAGAAGUUGGUGGGAACACAUGCUCCGGCCCCAGCGCUCUUCCCUUCGGAGCGAACAGCGCUCUCCGCUCUCCUCCUGCUCGCUCUCCGGAGCGUUCCAGCCGGCUGCAGCCGCGCUUCUUAAGGUGGAUGGAAGCGCCGCCAGUAUUUUCUCCCCUACCUCAUCUCCUUGCUCAGCAGCUCGGGGCUAUAGGGAGACUGUGCAGUUUCAGGAGAUGCCCGACGUUGCCAAAAAAUAAUAAUAAUUAAAAAAAAAAAAAAAAAAAAAAAAAAAAAAAAAAAAAAAAGGCAGGAGGAAAGCGAAGGGGCGGGAGCGCGGCAGCUCCGCUCCUGCCAGCCCGGGGACGGGGAGCCGGUGCUGUCGGUAUGUGGCGGAGCAGCGAGCAAGCUCUAAUCUGUUCCUCUGGCUGACCCGGGGCUCGUUGCAUCUGAAUGUGACCUCUAGACAGAGCAUUAAUAACGAACGUGGCGCUGACCCAAGCUGACAAGGGGUGCGGCGCUUGGCACCCGCUCCCGCCCUCCCUCGCUCACUUUCUGUCUCCCUCGCUCUCGGCUGAAUGUCAGCGGCAGGGGGAGGGAUCCAGGAAAACAAAGCUUGGCUAAUAGUUUUCUCCGCUCUCAAGUGAAUCAAAGGCGCUUUUCUUUGGGGACGUGCGCGCCGGCGAGCCCAGUGCCGCACCGACGGGGUGCCGCGGAGCCUCGGGACACCUCAGCCCUGCAGCUGCUGCCCUGGCACAGGAGGGAUGCGGAGAGCUUUGGCACCGGUGCCGUAAUGGGCAGACCGAGGCCUCUGCUCCCGUACGGCGAGAGGAGGCUGGAAGGAAGAGGAGCUCGGAGAACGCGGUGCUGCGCUCAGCAUCUCGGGGAGCUGAGAAGAAAGGCGGAGGGGCAGCGCGGCAGGCGAGGGCUGGGGGCUCGCACCCCCUCGGCUCUCUGCAGCUCGGGUUUUUACCAGAGACAUUCCAAGGCUCUCUGGCACGGCUGCCCAGCUCCACCCUGGGCUUGGUGAGGGAGGAGAGAGCCCGUAAAAGGGUCCCUUAAUGGGAGCUCACGCGGAUUACCAGACCAAGGUUAUAGGGGAAAAAACUAAGUGAUACCAAUUCCCUACGCCUGACGGUACCUGGUAUGAUCCUUCAGUACCUCUUGUGCCCACACACCCUCUUGGGAGCGAACAUGGAGGCAGCUCUGGCUACGGCACAGCCAAAAUGUGCCGCAAUCCUAUUCUGGAGAAAGACCAGCCCUAUGGAGUCAGCGACACCACCCAAGGCAUCCCGAAAGCGCGGUCAGCAUCGCCUUCCCUCACUAACCUCGGGCUGGUUUGCAGAGGUUCAGAGAAGGUGAUGCUGGCACCAGCCUGCCGUGCUCCCCAGUGGACCUCUCGUUUGGUGACGGGACACAGGCACACCUCUGAUGUCCCACAGCUCCAAGGGAGCUUGCAGCUGAACUUCCCAGCACCUUUCACACCCAUCACGCUGCUCCUCUGCGGGGAGGCAGUGUCACUAAACAAGGUGUGGGUACCUGACCAGCAAGGGUUGGGACCCCCGACCAGCUCAGCUCUAGUGCAAUGUCCCAUCUCUGCUGGCCCUGGCUGGGGACCCUCAGCUCCCAGGUCUCACCCUUGAAAUGGAUAAUUCCUAUACCACUGCAUCCACCUGCUGCAAAACCUUGAGCCUUGUGCUCUGAUCA
Cyanistes caeruleus (blue tit) is the source of this 1998-nucleotide long non-coding RNA. RefSeq lists it as uncharacterized. The record is from RefSeq and is a predicted model, not a curated record. NCBI's taxonomy places the organism in Eukaryota, Metazoa, Chordata, Aves, Passeriformes, Paridae.